This 253-nucleotide ribosomal RNA is filed under the name uncultured bacterium. RNAcentral's name for it is "partial 16S ribosomal RNA". It matches the Rfam family "Bacterial small subunit ribosomal RNA", at positions 524 to 776 of the family's 1533-position model. The record is from RNAcentral.
UACGUAGGUGGCAAGCGUUGUCCGGAAUUAUUGGGCGUAAAGCGCGCGCAGGCGGUCCUUUAAGUCUGAUGUGAAAGCCCACGGCUCAACCGUGGAGGGUCAUUGGAAACUGGGGGACUUGAGUGCAGAAGAGGAAAGCGGAAUUGCACGUGUAGCGGUGAAAUGCGUAGAGAUGUGGAGGAACACCAGUGGCGAAGGCGGCUUUCUGGUCUGUAACUGACGCUGAGGCGCGAAAGCGUGGGGAGCAAACAGG